GCGUUUCUGGUGCAGCGGCGGGCGCAGGGGCCUCACCCGCCCGCGUCGGUGCAGGCUGGUCGCCGGCCGGCGCUUCCUUUUCGCCGGACUGCGC
Molecule: transfer RNA, 94 nt
Filed under: Ralstonia mannitolilytica
Lineage: Bacteria; Pseudomonadati; Pseudomonadota; Betaproteobacteria; Burkholderiales; Burkholderiaceae
Description: tRNA-Val
Source: RNAcentral